CGGGACACGUGGUAUCCUGUCUGAAUAUGGGGGGACCAUCCUCCAAGGCUAAAUACUCCUGACUGACCGAUAGUGAACCAGUACCGUGAGGGAAAGGCGAAAAGAACCCCGGCGAGGGGAGUGAAAAAGAACCUGAAACCGUGUACGUACAAGCAGUGGGAGCACGCUUAGGCGUGUGACUGCGUACCUUUUGUAUAAUGGGUCAGCGACUUAUAUUCUGUAGCAAGGUUAACCGAAUAGGGGAGCCGAAGGGAAACCGAGUCUUAACUGGGCGUUAAGUUGCAGGGUAUAGACCCGAAACCCGGUGAUCUAGCCAUGGGCAGGUUGAAGGUUGGGUAACACUAACUGGAGGACCGAACCGACUAAUGUUGAAAAAUUAGCGGAUGACUUGUGGCUGGGGGUGAAAGGCCAAUCAAACCGGGAGAUAGCUGGUUCUCCCCGAAAGCUAUUUAGGUAGCGCCUCGUGAAUUCAUCUCCGGGGGUAGAGCACUGUUUCGGCAAGGGGGUCAUCCCGACUUACCAACCCGAUGCAAACUGCGAAUACCGGAGAAUGUUAUCACGGGAGACACACGGCGGGUGCUAACGUCCGUCGUGAAGAGGGAAACAACCCAGACCGCCAGCUAAGGUCCCAAAGUCAUGGUUAAGUGGGAAACGAUGUGGGAAGGCCCAGACAGCCAGGAUGUUGGCUUAGAAGCAGCCAUCAUUUAAAGAAAGCGUAAUAGCUCACUGGUCGAGUCGGCCUGCGCGGAAGAUGUAACGGGGCUAAACCAUGCACCGAAGCUGCGGCAGCGACGCUGAUGCGUUGUUGGGUAG
This 813-nucleotide ribosomal RNA is filed under the name Escherichia coli. RNAcentral's name for it is "partial 23S ribosomal RNA". It matches the Rfam family "Bacterial large subunit ribosomal RNA", at positions 418 to 1231 of the family's 2925-position model. Lineage: Bacteria; Pseudomonadati; Pseudomonadota; Gammaproteobacteria; Enterobacterales; Enterobacteriaceae. The record is from RNAcentral.